GACGAACGCUGGCGGCGUGCUUAACACAUGCAAGUCGAGCGGGAGUUGCCUUUCGGGGUAACUUCUAGCGGCGGACGGGUGAGUAACGCGUGAGCAAUCUUUCCUCCACUGGGGAAUAACACAGGGAAACUUGUACUAAUACCGCAUGAGACCACAGCAUCGCAUGGUGCAGGGGUCAAAGAUUUAUCGGUGGAGGGUGAGCUCGCGUCCGAUUAGGUAGUUGGUGAGGUAACGGCCCACCAAGCCGACGAUCGGUAGCCGACCUGAGAGGGUGAUCGGCCACAUUGGGACUGAGACACGGCCCAGACUCCUACGGGAGGCAGCAGUGGGGAAUAUUGCACAAUGGGGGAAACCCUGAUGCAGCAAUGCCGCGUGAGGG
Molecule: ribosomal RNA, 379 nt
Filed under: uncultured bacterium
Lineage: Bacteria
Description: bacterial SSU rRNA
Rfam family: Bacterial small subunit ribosomal RNA
Source: RNAcentral